Molecule: ribosomal RNA, 449 nt
Filed under: uncultured bacterium
Lineage: Bacteria
Description: bacterial SSU rRNA
Rfam family: Bacterial small subunit ribosomal RNA
Source: RNAcentral
GAUGAACGCUGGCGGUGUGCCUAACACAUGCAAGUCGAGCGAUCUUCUUCGGAAGAGAGCGGCGGACGGGUGAGUAACGCGUGGGUAACCUGCCCUGUACACACGGAUAACAUACCGAAAGGUAUGCUAAUACGAGAUAAUAUGCUUUUGUCGCAUGGUAGAAGUAUCAAAGCUCCGGCGGUACAGGAUGGACCCGCGUCUGAUUAGCUAGUUGGUGAGGUAACGGCUCACCAAGGCGACGAUCAGUAGCCGACCUGAGAGGGUGAUCGGCCACAUUGGAACUGAGACACGGUCCAAACUCCUACGGGAGGCAGCAGUGGGGAAUAUUGCACAAUGGGCGAAAGCCUGAUGCAGCAACGCCGCGUGAGCGGUGAAGGCCUUCGGGUCGUAAAGCUCUGUCCUCAAGGAAGAUAAUGACGGUACUUGAGGAGGAAGCCCCGGCUAACUAC